RNAcentral lists this ribosomal RNA (253 nucleotides) under uncultured bacterium. Its description in RNAcentral is "partial 16S ribosomal RNA". It matches the Rfam family "Bacterial small subunit ribosomal RNA", at positions 524 to 776 of the family's 1533-position model. The record is from RNAcentral.
GACGGAGGGUGCAAGCGUUGUUCGGAUUGACUGGGCGUAAAGGGCGUGUAGGCGGUCGGCCAAGUCUGAUGUGAAAGCCCGGGGCUUAGCUCCGGAAGUGCGUCGGAAACUAGUCGGCUGGAGCGCGAUAGAGGAGGGUGGAAUUCCUGGUGUAGCGGUGAAAUUCGUAGAUAUUCGCAAGAACACCAGCGGCGAAGGCGGCUUUCUGGUCUGUAACUGACGCUGAGGCGCGAAAGCGUGGGGAGCAAACAGG